RNAcentral lists this ribosomal RNA (253 nucleotides) under uncultured bacterium. RNAcentral describes it as "partial 16S ribosomal RNA". It matches the Rfam family "Bacterial small subunit ribosomal RNA", at positions 524 to 776 of the family's 1533-position model. RNAcentral also lists the same sequence under 1 other name. The record is from RNAcentral.
UACAGAGGGUGCAAGCGUUGUUCGGAAUUACUGGGCGUAAAGCGCGUGUAGGCGGUGCCAUAAGUCCUGUGUGAAAGCCCUGGGCUCAACCCAGGAAGUGCGCAGGAUACUGUGGGACUGGAGUACUGGAGAGGAUGGCGGAAUUCCCGGUGUAGAGGUGAAAUUCGUAGAUAUCGGGAGGAACACCUGUGGCGAAGGCGGCCAUCUGGACAGUCACUGACGCUGAGACGCGAAAGCGUGGGGAGCAAACAGG